Non-coding RNA from Danionella cerebrum, 72 nucleotides. The record is from the annotation of a GenBank genome assembly. Lineage: Eukaryota; Metazoa; Chordata; Actinopteri; Cypriniformes; Danionidae.
GCAGUCAUGGCCAAGUGGAUAAGGUGAUUGACUAGAGGUCAAAAGGUCGCCGGUUUGAUCCCCAAGACCCCA